AGAGUUUGAUCCUGGCUCAGGACGAACGCUGGCGGCGUGCCUAAUACAUGCAAGUCGAGCGAACAAGGAAGAAACUUGUUUCUUCCUUUGUUAGCGGCGGAUGGGUGAGUAACACGUGGGCAACCUGCCCUGCAGUUGGGGAUAACUCCGGGAAACCGGGGCUAAUACCGAAUAAUCAGUUCCUUCACAUGAAGGAACUCUGAAAGACGGCUAUGCUGUCACUGCAGGAUGGGCCCGCGGCGCAUUAGCUAGUUGGUGGGAUAACGGCCUACCAAGGCGACGAUGCGUAGCCGACCUGAGAGGGUGAUCGGCCACACUGGGACUGAGACACGGCCCAGACUCCUACGGGAGGCAGCAGUAGGGAAUCUUCCACAAUGGACGAAAGUCUGAUGGAGCAACGCCGCGUGAGCGAAGAAGGUUUUCGGAUCGUAAAGCUCUGUUGCGAGGGAAGAACAAGUACGGGAGUAACUGCCCGUACCUUGACGGUACCUCGUCAGAAAGCCACGGCUAACUACGUGCCAGCAGCCGCGGUAAUACGUAGGUGGCAAGCGUUGUCCGGAAUUAUUGGGCGUAAAGCGCGCGCAGGCGGUCCUUUAAGUCUGAUGUGAAAGCCCACGGCUCAACCGUGGAGGGUCAUUGGAAACUGGAGGACUUGAGUACAGAAGAGGAAAGCGGAAUUCCACGUGUAGCGGUGAAAUGCGUAGAGAUGUGGAGGAACACCAGUGGCGAAGGCGGCUUUCUGGUCUGUAACUGACGCUGAGGCGCGAAAGCAUGGGGAGCAAACAGGAUUAGAUACCCUGGUAGUCCAUGCCGUAAACGAUGAGUGCUAAGUGUUAGGGGGUUUCCGCCCCUUAGUGCUGGAGCAAACGCAUUAAGCACUCCGCCUGGGGAGUACGGCCGCAAGGCUGAAACUCAAAGGAAUUGACGGGGGACCCGCACAA
Molecule: ribosomal RNA, 941 nt
Filed under: uncultured bacterium
Lineage: Bacteria
Description: bacterial SSU rRNA
Rfam family: Bacterial small subunit ribosomal RNA
Source: RNAcentral